This 502-nucleotide ribosomal RNA is filed under the name uncultured bacterium. Its description in RNAcentral is "bacterial SSU rRNA". It matches the Rfam family "Bacterial small subunit ribosomal RNA", at positions 355 to 874 of the family's 1533-position model. The record is from RNAcentral.
GGGGGAAUAUUGGACAAUGGGCGCAAGCCUGAUCCAGCCAUGCCGCGUGAGUGAUGACGGCCCUAGGGUUGUAAAGCUCUUUCGCACGCGACGAUAAUGACGGUAGCGUGAGAAGAAGCCCCGGCUAACUUCGUGCCAGCAGCCGCGGUAAUACGAAGGGGGCUAGCGUUGUUCGGAAUCACUGGGCGUAAAGGGCGCGUAGGCGGGUUUCUAAGUCGGGGGUGAAAGCCUGUGGCUCAACCACAGAAUGGCCUUCGAUACUGGCAACCUUGAGACCGGAAGAGGUGAGUGGAACUGCGAGUGUAGAGGUGAAAUUCGUAGAUAUUCGCAAGAACACCAGUGGCGAAGGCGGCUCACUGGGUCCGGGUCUGACGCUGAGGCGCGAAAGCGUGGGGAGCAAACAGGAUUAGAUACCCUGGUAGUCCACGCCGUAAACGAUGGAUGCUAGCCGUUGGCGCGCUUGCGCGUCAGUGGCGCAGCUAACGCUUUAAGCAUCCCGCCU